AGCGAACGCUGGCGGCAGGCUUAACACAUGCAAGUCGAGCGGGCGUAGCAAUACGUCAGCGGCAGACGGGUGAGUAACGCGUGGGAACGUACCUUUUGGUUCGGAACAACACAGGGAACUUGUGCUAAUACCGGAUAAGCCCUUACGGGGAAAGGAUUUAUCGCCGAAAGAUCGGCCCGCGUCUGAUUAGCUAGUUGGUGAGGUAACGGCUCACCAAGGCGACGAUCAGUAGCUGGCUGAGAGGAUGAUCAGCCA
This 255-nucleotide ribosomal RNA is filed under the name uncultured bacterium. RNAcentral describes it as "partial 16S ribosomal RNA". It matches the Rfam family "Bacterial small subunit ribosomal RNA", at positions 29 to 310 of the family's 1533-position model. The record is from RNAcentral.